Molecule: ribosomal RNA, 200 nt
Filed under: uncultured organism
Description: partial small subunit ribosomal RNA
Rfam family: Bacterial small subunit ribosomal RNA
Source: RNAcentral
GUCAAAUCAUCAUGCCCCUUAUGUCCUGGGCGACACACGUGCUACAAUGGCUGGUACAGAGGGCAGCGAAGCGGUGACGCGGAGCCAAUCCCUAAAAAGCCAGUCUCAGUUCGGAUCGCAGGCUGCAACUCGCCUGCGUGAAGGAGGAAUCGCUAGUAAUCGCGGAUCAGCAUGCCGCGGUGAAUACGUUCCCGGGCCUU